AUAUAUGUAAGACUCAGAUCGACGUCCGGUCUCUAAUCGACGUCCGUUCCUCAAAUCGACGUCCAAAUCUGACGUCACAAUAAAAUAUCCUUCCAAAUCGACGGCCAAUUUUAUGCCUAUCUAAUCGACGUCCAUUUUUUGGCAUUCUCUAAUCGACGUCCGAUUUUGAGCUUCUCUAAUCAACGUCUGUUUUUGACACAGAAUACAAAACUGAAGUGAACCGAUAGUAGCUGAAACAUUUAAACCUUUAAACAUAUUAUGUUGUGAUAUUAAUUUUUAAAUUUUAGAGAUUGGUAUGAUUUUCAGAGAGACAACUAUACACAGAGUUCAAAUAAAAUGGAUGUGAGGAAUUAUAACUUAUACGGAUUUCAACCAUGAUAAAAAUCCAUACCACAAAGGCUAGAAGAGGCCACGACAGAAAUAAUGUAAACAAUUCAAAUAAGAAAAUUAACG
This 453-nucleotide long non-coding RNA is filed under the name Mytilus galloprovincialis (Mediterranean mussel). Lineage: Eukaryota; Metazoa; Mollusca; Bivalvia; Mytilida; Mytilidae. The record is from RNAcentral.